GGAAGACGAAAAUUCUAUUUAAUGCAGAAAGAUCCAUUCACAUCAUGAUUGUUUUCUCUUUGGACUGAGAAUUCAGAGCUCUCUUGCCUUCUUAUAUUUCAAAGCCACCCCUCUCUCUCUCUGCCUACCAAACCCGUUAAAAAAUUGCAAAGUUUUUUGCCAAGAAUAUUUGCUAUUUUGCCCCCAUAGUUAGCUCCGUAGAACGUAGUGAUCUUUUUUGUUUUUAGCUGUGAUUGUGAUUUGUGAUUACUUUAUUUGUUUAAAUCCUACGUGAUCUGGGUUAUUUCACCUUUUGACAUAGAGAAAGAGUCGUAAAAAGACUUGCUUUUUAUUUAUUUCUUGUGAGAUUCUCUUCCUUUUUGAUCUACAUCUUCACGGGU
Molecule: unclassified non-coding RNA, 380 nt
Filed under: Hevea brasiliensis (rubber tree)
Lineage: Eukaryota; Viridiplantae; Streptophyta; Magnoliopsida; Malpighiales; Euphorbiaceae
Source: RNAcentral